RNAcentral lists this ribosomal RNA (442 nucleotides) under uncultured bacterium. RNAcentral describes it as "partial 16S ribosomal RNA". It matches the Rfam family "Bacterial small subunit ribosomal RNA", at positions 338 to 795 of the family's 1533-position model. The record is from RNAcentral.
CCUACGGGAGGCAGCAGUAGGGAAUCUUUCACAAUGGGCGAAAGCCUGAUGGAGCAACGCCGCGUGCACGAUGAAGGCCUUCGGGUUGUAAACUUCUUUUAUAAGCGAGAAAUAUGAUGGUAACUUAUGAAUAAGGAUCCGCUAACUAAGUGACCACAGCCGCGGUCAUACGUAGGAUCCGAGCAUUAUCCGGAGUGACUGGGUGUAAAGAGUUGCGUAGGUGGCAUAAUAAGUAGCGAGUGAAAUAUGGAGGCUCAACCAUUCAAAAUAUUUGCUAAACUGUUAAGCUAGAGACCGUUAGGGGUAACUGGAAUGUCUAGUGUAGGAGUGAAAUCCGUAGAUAUUAGAAGGAACACCAAUAGCGUAGGCAGGUUACUGGGACGGUACUGACACUAAGGCACGAAAGCGUAGGGAGCAAACGGGAUUAGAUACCCCUGUAGUC